RNAcentral lists this ribosomal RNA (405 nucleotides) under uncultured bacterium. Its description in RNAcentral is "partial 16S ribosomal RNA". It matches the Rfam family "Bacterial small subunit ribosomal RNA", at positions 29 to 526 of the family's 1533-position model. The record is from RNAcentral.
AUUGAACGCUGCGGCAGGCUUAACACAUGCAAGUCGAGCGAGCGGCGGACGGGGGAGUAAUGCUUAGGAAUCUGCCUAUUAGUGGGGGACAACAUCUCGAAAGGGAUGCUAAUACCGCAUACUAAUAGAUGAGACUAAGUCGGAUUAGCUAGUUGGGGGGGAAAAGGCCUACCAGGGCGACGAUCUGUAGCGGGUCGUAGAGGAGGAUCCGCCACCCUGGGCCUGAGACCCGGCCCAGCCUCCUACGGAAGGCGGCAGGGGGGAAUAUUGGAAAAUGGGGGGAACCCUGAUCCAGCCAGGCCGCGUGGGUGAAGAAGGCCUUCGGGUUGUAAGGCACUUUCAGCGGGGAGGCGUUACCCGCAGAAGAAGCACCGGCUAACUCCGUGCCAGCCGCCGCGGUAAUAC